This 466-nucleotide ribosomal RNA is filed under the name uncultured bacterium. RNAcentral describes it as "partial 16S ribosomal RNA". It matches the Rfam family "Bacterial small subunit ribosomal RNA", at positions 28 to 507 of the family's 1533-position model. The record is from RNAcentral.
GACGAACGCUGGCGGCGCGCCUAACACAUGCAAGUCGAACGAGCGAGAGAGAGCUUGCUUUCUCAAGCGAGUGGCGAACGGGUGAGUAACGCGUGAGGAACCUGCCUCAAAGAGGGGGACAACAGUUGGAAACGACUGCUAAUACCGCAUAAGCCCACGACCCGGCAUCGGGUAGAGGGAAAAGGAGCAAUCCGCUUUGAGAUGGCCUCGCGUCCGAUUAGCUAGUUGGUGAGGUAACGGCCCACCAAGGCGACGAUCGGUAGCCGGACUGAGAGGUUGAACGGCCACAGUGGGACUGAGACACGGCCCAGACUCCUACGGGAGGCAGCAGUGGGGAAUAUUGCACAAUGGGGGAAACCCUGAUGCAGCGACGCCGCGUGGAGGAAGAAGGUCUUCGGAUUGUAAACUCCUGUUGUGGAGGAAGAUAAUGACGGUACUCAACAAGGAAGUGACGGCUAACUACGUG